UACGUAGGGGGCAAGCGUUGUCCGGAUUUAUUGGGCGUAAAGAGCGUGUAGGCGGCCCGGUAAGUCCGCUGUGAAAGUCGGGGGCUCAACCCUCGAAUGCCGGUGGAUACUGUCGGGCUAGAGUGCGGAAGAGGCGAGUGGAAUUCCUGGUGUAGCGGUGAAAUGCGCAGAUAUCAGGAGGAACACCAAUUGCGAAGGCAGCUCGCUGGGACGUCACUGACGCUGAGACGCGGAAGCGUGGGGAGCAAACAGG
RNAcentral lists this ribosomal RNA (253 nucleotides) under uncultured bacterium. RNAcentral's name for it is "partial 16S ribosomal RNA". It matches the Rfam family "Bacterial small subunit ribosomal RNA", at positions 524 to 776 of the family's 1533-position model. The record is from RNAcentral.